RNAcentral lists this ribosomal RNA (380 nucleotides) under Anaplasma marginale. Its description in RNAcentral is "bacterial SSU rRNA". It matches the Rfam family "Bacterial small subunit ribosomal RNA", at positions 45 to 435 of the family's 1533-position model. The record is from RNAcentral. Lineage: Bacteria; Pseudomonadati; Pseudomonadota; Alphaproteobacteria; Rickettsiales; Anaplasmataceae.
AGCUUAACACAUGCAAGUCGAACGGACCGUAUACGCAGCUUGCUGCGUGUAUGGUUAGUGGCAGACGGGUGAGUAAUGCAUAGGAAUCUACCUAGUAGUAUGGGAUAGCCACUAGAAAUGGUGGGUAAUACUGUAUAAUCCCUGCGGGGGAAAGAUUUAUCGCUAUUAGAUGAGCCUAUGUCAGAUUAGCUAGUUGGUGGGGUAAUGGCCUACCAAGGCGGUGAUCUGUAGCUGGUCUGAGAGGAUGAUCAGCCACACUGGAACUGAGACACGGUCCAGACUCCUACGGGAGGCAGCAGUGGGGAAUAUUGGACAAUGGGCGCAAGCCUGAUCCAGCUAUGCCGCGUGAGUGAGGAAGGCCUUAGGGUUGUAAAACUCUU